This 396-nucleotide ribosomal RNA is filed under the name uncultured bacterium. Its description in RNAcentral is "partial 16S ribosomal RNA". It matches the Rfam family "Bacterial small subunit ribosomal RNA", at positions 523 to 918 of the family's 1533-position model. The record is from RNAcentral.
AUACGUAGGUGGCAAGCGUUAUCCGGAUUUACUGGGCGUAAAGGGCGCGUAGGCGGGGGUGCAAGUCCGAUGUGAAAUCUCUGGGCUUAACUCAUGAACUGCAUUUGAAACUGUAUCUCUUGAGUGCUGGAGAGGUAGACGGAAUUCCUUGUGUAGCGGUGAAAUGCGUAGAUAUAAGGAAGAACACCAGUGGCGAAGGCGGUCUACUGGACAGUAACUGACGCUGAGGCGCGAAAGCGUGGGGAGCAAACAGGAUUAGAUACCCUGGUAGUCCACGCUGUAAACGAUGAAUACUAGGUGUGGGGGGACUGACCCCCUCCGUGCCGCAGUUAACACAAUAAGUAUUCCGCCUGGGGAGUACGGCCGCAAGGUUGAAACUCAAAUGAAUUGGCGGGG